This 202-nucleotide ribosomal RNA is filed under the name uncultured bacterium. RNAcentral's name for it is "partial 16S ribosomal RNA". It matches the Rfam family "Bacterial small subunit ribosomal RNA", at positions 328 to 538 of the family's 1533-position model. The record is from RNAcentral.
ACGCUCGACACCUACGGGAGGCCGCAGUGGGGAAUAUUGCACAAUGGGGGAAACCCUGAUGCAGCAACGCCGCGUGAAGGAAGACGGUUUUCGGAUUGUAAACUUCUGUUCUUAGUGAAGAUAGUGACGGUAGCUAAGGAGCAAGCCACGGCUAACUACGUGCCAACAGCCGCGGUAAGUACUGAGCGGGCGUGGCAAGGAC